CUAACAGCCCUGGAGACUGAAGUCCUCUAGUUAUUCAGAGGACAAGAAGCUGUCGUGAAGGUUUUCCCCACAUUAUCCCCCCGUUGUGUCAACUCUUAGGAAGGAUACACCUCCAAAGGUGAGAUGGGGUUCAGUUUCCAUGGCCCAGUCCAUCUUCAGCCUUU
This 164-nucleotide small RNA is filed under the name Gopherus agassizii (Agassiz's desert tortoise). RNAcentral's name for it is "TUC338 (ENSGAGG00000003237.1)". The record is from RNAcentral. Lineage: Eukaryota; Metazoa; Chordata; Testudines; Testudinidae.